CCGGAGGAGCGGGAGCGGAAGCUGCACGCGGAAGCGCGGAGGAGAAAGGCGUGGGGUCAGAGUUCGAAGGUCGCGUAGGGCCGUCCGAACUGUUAGGUGUUUGCUGUUUGCUCCGUAGUGCUGCUGCCUCGGCGAGAUCCCCGAUAUGGCCCAUCCAAAACAGUUCCGUCAAUUCUGCGUCUUCAAGCCUUAAAAAUAAGCGAUCCGCGGCGGGAAAGCCGCCAACCACUUUUUAAGAGCCCAUCUCGGGGCCGGUGGCAUAAGGCACCCCACACCCACCCACCCAUCUACCCCCAGAAGCCUGUAUUGGUUGCUCCGCGCUUCCAAGGACAUGGGCGGCCCCAGACGUGACCCAGCUGAGUGAAAGCUUGGCUUGGCCCAACUCCGAGUACUUAACUGCACUAACUUGCCCGUGCCUUUCUUUAAGGAAGCCUGGUAAUUCGCAGAAAAUGUUUUUAGGUGAAGGGAUUUUGCAUGCUGAGAGAACUCCAGGUACUGAAAUAAGUUUUAUCCAGUUUGUAUAGGACUUAGUUUUGAAAAGUUGAGAAUCAGCCGGGCGUGGUGGCAAACGCCUUUAAUCCCAGCACUUGGGAGGCGGAGGCAGGUGGAUUUCUGAGUUCAAGGCCAGCCUGGUCUACAAAGUGAGUUUUAGGACAGUCAGGACUACACAGAGAAACCCCGUCUCGAAAAACCAAAAAAGAAAAGAAAAGUUGAGAACCUUUUCAGAAACCACUGGCUUCGGCUAUGUUAUAGACCUACCCUCUGUCAAUGUGGUAUCUCCUACCCACGGUAUAGAAUAGUGCUACUUAACUAGGCACUGAAAAUCCUCAGAAUCAGGUUGGGGGUGUAACUCAGGUUAUAGCGUGCACAAAGCCCUGGGCUUGAACCCCAGACUGCAUCAACUACAUGGUGGUGCAUCCUCAAAAUCCCAGCACACAGGAGGAGGCAGGUGGGCCAGAAGUUCAGGAUGGUUCUCAGCUGCAUCACCAGUUGAUUCUACAGGAGACCCUAUAUCAGAAGAAAGCCGAGCUUUUUGUUAAAAUGUGGUUUAUGGUUCAAUGAAAUGGGGGCAGGGUACAAGAUUCUGUAUUUCUUUUUUGGUUUUUCAAGAUAGGAUUUCUUUGUGCAGCCCUGGAUGUCCUGGAACUAGGUCUGUAGACCAGGCUGGCCAAAGAUGACAUAGGCUUUGGUCUUUUGACUAAACUGCUUUUGUUAACUUGUCCAAUAAAGAGUUGUCCUGUAGGUGGGUUGAUCUCACUUGUGUGCCACAAAGCUUUUGAGCUUUCAGAGAUGGUAGCAGGUCCCAAAAAUGUCAGGGAAGCAGGGUCUCGAGACCAAAGCCAGCAUGAAUUACUUAUAUGAAAAGUAAGGUCUGGAUCAGUUACCUAAGACUGUCUGGGCAGAGUGAAGGCUCAGUUACCUAAGAACUAGACCUCCUGGGCAGAGAGAAUGGGGGAGGGGGGUCUGUCUCCAGAAAGGCACCUUCAAGUGACUUUGGUUCAGAGCACCUGUUUAGUGGAAGCCAUUUGAAAAUUAAAGCCCUGAAAGUGCACAAACACACACACACACACACACACACACACACACAACUCUUCUGUGAUCACAGUCUUUACAUACAUAAUCUAACAGGCAAUCUAAAGUAUAGAAUCUGCAGACAGUGGAGGGACCAGAGCUGAUGUAAAAGAACAUGGAAUUAGGUCCUAGGAGCUCAGCUUCCCAUCCUGGAACAUCCCAAGAAACUUCAUUUAAUUGGCUUCUGGGGCUGCAGUGACAAAGGCUUGGCAAAGAGGAGCUUAUGAAGUCUGGAAAGGCUCUUUUGGAAGGAAAAAAUGACUUGUAACGUUUACAGCUUUGCUUGGGUUCUGCCAUCAGUGUUUGCCAGAUGUUUUCUUCUACUCCUAAGCUAGCGUGUCAUAUCGGCUUCUUUGCUCUGGACUGGGGAAUAUAACGGCGUUGGCAGUGUGCUCGCCUAGCAUGCGUGGAGCCCUGCCUCCCAUCCCUAGCACCACAUAAAGCUGGGUGUGGUCAUGCAUGCCUGUAAUCUCAGCACUUGGGAGGUGAAGGCCAGAGAAGUGGAAGGUCAGUUUCAUUAUUGGCUACAGUGUACAUAAUAAGAUCCUGUCUCCAGAAGGUGGGGGAGGGGCUCCUUUGUUCAAAGAGCAGGAAAGCUAAGCCUGCAUGAACUGGCCUGUGAAUCUUCUGUGGGGUCAGCCAAGUUUGACUUGCUGCUCUGUAGAGCCAAGGCUUGCUGUUAUGGUCCUAGUGUUUUCUUUAUAUCAUGUAACAGCAUCAGUGUCUGACAACAGAGAAUCAGAUAAUGCACAUGAAACAGUGUUACAUGGUCAGUAAAAAGGAUGCUGCAGGGAUGGAGACAUAGCUCAUACAUUAAAGCUGUUUUCCGGUG
RNAcentral lists this long non-coding RNA (2404 nucleotides) under Mus musculus (house mouse). RNAcentral describes it as "long non-coding RNA-Tcam1". Lineage: Eukaryota; Metazoa; Chordata; Mammalia; Rodentia; Muridae. The record is from RNAcentral.